UUUCUCCUACGGGGGGCAGCAGUGAGGAAUAUUGGUCAAUGGGCGGAAGCCUGAACCAGCCAAGUCGCGUGAGGGAAUAAGGCCCUACGGGUCGUAAACCUCUUUUGCCGGGGAGCAAGGGCGGGGACGUGUCCCGGCCCGGAGAGUACCCGGAGAAAAAGCAUCGGCUAACUCCGUGCCAGCAGCCGCGGUAAUACGGAGGAUGCGAGCGUUAUCCGGAUUUAUUGGGGGUAAAGGGCGCGUAGGCGGGGGCGCAAGUCC
RNAcentral lists this ribosomal RNA (261 nucleotides) under uncultured bacterium. RNAcentral describes it as "partial 16S ribosomal RNA". It matches the Rfam family "Bacterial small subunit ribosomal RNA", at positions 333 to 590 of the family's 1533-position model. The record is from RNAcentral.